RNAcentral lists this unclassified non-coding RNA (355 nucleotides) under soil metagenome. Its description in RNAcentral is "partial contains 5.8S ribosomal RNA, internal transcribed spacer 2, and large subunit ribosomal RNA". The stretch from base 1 to 120 matches the Rfam family "5.8S ribosomal RNA", at positions 35 to 154 of the family's 154-position model. The record is from RNAcentral.
GAUGAAGAACGCAGUGAAAUGCGAUAAGUAAUGUGAAUUGCAGAAUUCAGUGAAUCAUCGAAUCUUUGAACGCACAUUGCGCCCAUUAGUAUUCUAGUGGGCAUGCCUGUUCGAGCGUCAUUAAGUCCACUUAAGCCCUGCUUAGUGUUGGGAGACUGCUCCAGCGGUGCUACCCUGUAGCUACCCUGCAGCCCCUCAAAGACAGCGGCGGAGUUGUGGUAUCCUCUGAGCUUAGUAACUUGUUCUAGCUUUCGAGUACACCACUUCCCCUGCCGUAAAACCCUUAAUUUUUAAUGGUUGACCUCGGAUCAGGUAGGAAUACCCGCUGAACUUAAGCAUAUCAAUAAGCGGAGGA